Molecule: non-coding RNA, 104 nt
Organism: Ornithorhynchus anatinus (platypus)
Lineage: Eukaryota; Metazoa; Chordata; Mammalia; Monotremata; Ornithorhynchidae
Source: Rfam
GGGCAAGUCAAGGCAGCACAUAUACUAAAAUUGGAACGAUACAGAGAUUAGCCUAGCCCUUGCGCAAGGAUGACACGCAAAUUUGUGAAGCGUUCCAUAUUUUU